RNAcentral lists this small RNA (222 nucleotides) under Streptomyces sp. F-3. RNAcentral describes it as "Actinobacteria sRNA Ms_IGR-5". It matches the Rfam family "Actinobacteria sRNA Ms_IGR-5". The record is from Rfam by way of RNAcentral. Lineage: Bacteria; Bacillati; Actinomycetota; Actinomycetes; Kitasatosporales; Streptomycetaceae.
ACGCGGGAAGGAGGUGAUCGGGUACAUGAGUGAAACCCGGACACGCGAGGUGGCUGCGGGCUAGCGGCCCGUCACCACACUCCAGUGCAGUGCCGGGCCGGCACGUGAGAGACGCGUGCAGCCGGCCCAAUCCACACAGUCACCCGACCCGCGGGCUCGCCGGUAGGUCCGGCCGGCUCCUCCGCCGCCAGGCGGGGGAUCCGAGCCCGCGGGUUGUCCGUG